Long non-coding RNA from Macaca mulatta (Rhesus monkey), 1197 nucleotides. RefSeq lists it as uncharacterized. Lineage: Eukaryota; Metazoa; Chordata; Mammalia; Primates; Cercopithecidae. The record is from RefSeq and is a predicted model, not a curated record.
GCACAUUAGGAGGGGAGGUGCCGGGUCACAUGGCCAGGCUGGUCAUUUCCUGUCCUCCCCCAGGGGAUGAGCAUGCAGGUCAGAGAAUAGGCCCUAGCCCAUGAGCACGGAGGAAGGGACCUUAAGGAAUCCCUCUCAUUUUGACAAGGAAAGCAAAAGCCCAGAGAGAUCACACAACUAUUUAGAAAGGUAGGAACGGAAAGAGCUGUCUUCAGACUUCUUCUCUGGGAGGUUAAUGGGUUUUCCCCUUGGCUUUCGAAGAGGGAGGUCUGGCAUCAAUAACUGGCAGUGCUGUCUUCCUGGGACUCGGGCUCCACCCCUUUACCGUGGGUGUGCGUGCUCACAGCUGGCACUCAUUCAUUCCCUCAUGGAAGCCUUCCCUGGGCUAAAGGCAUCAUCAAGAGGUCCAGAAAUGUUUCUCACUAGCAAAGGGCACUUCGGUCAUCUCAGAUUCUCCAAAUGUCUCAGAAUCCUUCCCUGAGACCCCAAAGGCAGGUACCAAGCAGCGUCCACAUGACCACCUCACCCCAAGCCCAAAACACAGAAUUAGCACAGUUCAGUAACUCACUAAAGGAGAAUGCUGCCACAGUGACGUACCCAAGAACCGUAACCAAGCUUACCUCACUCCAACCCCUUGACCUGGCCCCUAUACCUCCCACCUUCACCUGGAGAGAACACACAAGCACCUCACUCAAUGCCUGGCUCACAGAGGUGACAGAGAACAAAUCCCGUUCCCCUUCCCCCUAUGCCCAGAGACAUUUGGGCAGAACACACACACACAGACACACACUUUGCAGCUGUGUGAGCCACCCACGCAUACUGCAAACAAGCUUCCUGACCCACUGUCUACAGCAGCUGUACCACUCUACACCCCCAGAGCAAGCUGGACCACCAGCAGCACGCCGAGCCACGAUCCAGGCCCCCCUCUAGCCCUGGUACUGACCCUGGCACCUGGGCAGGUGAAAGGGACUCACCCAGCGCAGCCCCUGGAUGCAGCUCGGAGGCUGGUGCUCCAGCAGCAGCUGGUAGGAGCAGCUUCGGGGCCGGUGCAUCUUCCUCAACACCAUGUUGAGUAGUGUCCCCUCCGGCACCACGUCAGGGAGGGGUCCCACCCGCGGUGCUCCCAGAGCUGGGCUAUCCUCCACAGCCAGGCCCACCUGCCAGCAGCUCUCACCUGGCCAGCCCACCUGUGACACA